GCGGGGCGAUCAGCGCGAGGUAUACGGCUAUGUUCCCACCGGUUGUUAAGUCCGAAAUUAUUAUUGUUAUGGAUUUUGCGAUUACUUUCAAUGUUUGAUCGGAUAUUACAUCGAUUGCCGCAUCAGUUUUCGUUCCGCCAUUAUCAACGCAUAUUACAACACGUGUGAUAACAAUCUUAACUUUCUGCAACUAGAUGGAUGUAGUCAAACAUUUAUGAAGUGAAGUUUAAAUGAAGUCACCGAUGAUGUCAGCCCUCGUGAUAGGUGCGUCACGAGGAAUCGGGCGGCAGAUCGCUCUGACGCUCGCGCGGAACGGAUAUGGCGUCACGGUAGCGGCGAAGACGGUGGAAUCGACGGAGCGACUUCCGGGCUCCAUACACACCGUGGUCGACGAGAUCCAAAGAGACGGUGGCGUGGCGUUUCCGGUGCAGUGUGACUGUAGACAAGAAUCGGAUGUGAGGAACGCUGUGCGUGUCACCCAUGAAAGAUUCGGCCGCCUUGACGCCGUUAUCUACAACGCCGGGGCCAUCACGUGGCAACCAGUGUUAGAAACGCCGUUGAAGCGUCUCGACCUUAUGCUUGACGUCAACGUAAGGGGCGCUUACGUCACCGUGCAGGAGUCCGUGCCCGUGAUGCUCCAGCAGAAGUUCGGGCGCCUCGUUCUUGUAGCGCCGCCGAUUUACAACAGGUUUUUCAAGGGCAAGACGCCGUACAGCAUCACCAAGGUCGGUAUGACUGUGCUCGCGAUGGGCCUGGCCAAUGAGCUGCGGGACACAGGAGUGUCAAUAUGCACGUUAUGGCCGGCCACAGUAAUCCAAUCACAUGUGACUGACGUCAUGCACGUUCCACGUUCGCACAUGCGCACUCCAGACAUCUUUGCAGACGCCGUGUGUCGCAUUGUACAGGAACCUACCGACAAGUUAAAUGGCAAAGUGCUUUUGGACGAAGAUUAUCUGCGUAGCGAGGGUGUGACAGACUUUACUCGCUACCGCUGUGACCCGGAUGUAGAACCACCGCGCAUGAUGCCUCGCGCACUUCCGGAUCUCACGGUGCAAGAAGAACACGAGCAGUUGAACAUUUUGAACAAGGACAGCAAGUUGUGAGAAACCGCUUUGUUCAGUAAUCGAGCAGUUUCAACAAUCUAUUUUUCUUCGCCCUUCUGUUUGUGAAGGCUUUUUUCAAUGAUGGAAUGCUUGGAUUAUGCUACUAUGUGAUAAUAUUUUAAAGACUUUAAACACUAAAAAUCAACAAAUAUUUCGAACGAUAUUUUUUUUUAUUUGAACACAUACACAAUUAUAUAUUGCUAUAUCAAUAGCCAACAUUUAAACGCUAGAUGUGGUCUGGUAACAUAGAUUUAACGCGAUACAAAAUGCUCGUUUUUAUUUUUGUGUCAUAUUUUAUUCCACAUGUGGUUUGCGUGUGGCUAUGAUAUUAAUUAGUGAAAUUAUCAUUUUGAUUGAUAAAUAAUCACAUUAUAACGAAUAAUCAACUUUUCUGGAAAAAAUAUUUCACUAUCAAAUAUAUAUAUUACAAGGUAUCCAACUCAAAAUCAACCGAAAACGGGGUGCAUCGCUUUGAACAGCCAUAACUUCAUCAAUUGUGCAGCGAUUAUCACGAUCUCGGUCUUAUUGAAUGAAAUCUUCACGGAGUAAAGGGCAUUUUCCCUGCAAAGUUCACGGACCUCGAUACCUUAAUUCAAUAAAACGUAUGAAAAACAUUCUUACCGUGCUUUCUGUUGCAUUAUGCAUCAAAACAAACUGUCCAGCGCCGUUUGAAACCUUUGUUUACAGACACUUCAACUAACCGACAUUUUAAACACACAAGUGAUUUCAUUGGUCCAAUGCGAAAGUGUGUCUUAACAACUGAAGAUUUCAUUAAUUCUGUCUGAUCGGUGUCAAGUAAGUUACGCGAGUUGUGUAUUGUGUUAUUUCUUAAAAUUUGACCCAGCAUUUGUAGAAAUAUAACAAGAUUAUACAUUUGUAGAAAGGAAAAUCAUUUCUUCGUUGAAUAAGACCAAGAUCGUGAAAAUCGCUGCACAAUUGAUGAAGUUAUGGCUGUUCAAAGCGAUGCACCCCGUUUUCGGGUGAUAUUGAGUUGAAUACCUUGUUAUAUAUAUAUAUUUGAUAGUGAUUUUUUUUUCUGAAAAGUUGAUUGUUCGUUAAAAUAUGAUUAUUUAUCAUUCAAAAUGAUGUUUUUACUAAUGAAUAUCAUAUCCACACGCUAACCACCUGUGUUAUAUUUCAUGUAAAUAUCCGGCUACGUUAUCCGAACAUAUAUACGGGCGAACGCAAGUUUGGCUUCGGGCAGCUUCGGAAGCACGAUGCAGUUCUCAUGUCCGUCGCUGCCCGAAGCCAGUCUCGCGUUCGCUCGUAAAUAUUCGAAUAUCGUGAAAUUCACAUGGAAUAUAUUGUAGCACAAAAAACGAGCAUUUUGUAUCUCGUUAAAUCUAUGUUACAGGACCACAUCUAUCGUUAAAUUUUGUCUAUUUCUAUAAGGAACACUAUUUUUUAUGCGAAAUAUUUGUUUAUUUUGAGUAUUUUUAUUACUUUAACAUUGACAUAUAAACUGAUAAUUUUCCAUCUCUAUCAUUGGUGGACAUGCCGCUACACUGGUCCAUCGUGCAUCCCUGAUAGCGAUUGAAAAAAAUAAAUAUUUGUGUUUGCAUUGUUAUGAUUAUUAUGAUUGGUAUCAUGUUUGCACGGUUUUAUGUUAUAAAUGUCAAAUGAAUAUAAACCUUAAGAGAUCACUUGGUCAUGAGGUUCGUAAUGGUAUAUGGCUGGAGUAAAUUUGUUUAUGAUCAUAUGCCAAUGAUUGGAAAUAAAUUCAUUCACAAAGAAUCGUACCGCAGGUUAAAUGGCAAAGUGCUUUUGGACGAAGAUUAUCUGCGUAGCGAGGGUAUGACAGACUUUACUCGCUACCGCUGUGACCCGGAUGUAGAACCACCGCGCAUGAUGCCUCGCGCACUUCCGGAUCUCACGGUGCAAGAAGAACACGAGC
RNA transcript from Dreissena polymorpha, 2997 nucleotides. It is a transcript of the gene named hydroxysteroid dehydrogenase-like protein 2, with no coding region annotated. NCBI's taxonomy places the organism in Eukaryota, Metazoa, Mollusca, Bivalvia, Myida, Dreissenidae. The record is from RefSeq and is a predicted model, not a curated record. The transcript has 7 exons.